RNAcentral lists this long non-coding RNA (4028 nucleotides) under Anas platyrhynchos platyrhynchos (common mallard). RNAcentral describes it as "lncRNA (ENSAPLG00000024409.1)". Lineage: Eukaryota; Metazoa; Chordata; Aves; Anseriformes; Anatidae. The record is from RNAcentral.
AUGCAGCAAACCCAGCCGCUGAAACGACACUCCCUCCAAAGAAACGCUCUGUUUCCUCCAGAUUCAUUCCUUGGCCUCUGUGAAACGAGUUUUCACCCCGGUUCCCUCUGGCCAACCCUUCUGUUCCUACAAGGACCCCCUUGUGCCUGGGAUGACCUCAUCGUGCUGCACAUUUUGGGAUGCACUUCCCCAUUACGCUUCGCCCGUGGGGUCCAAGCCAGCUCCAAGCCUCUCCCCCCACCCUGCCUGUUUGUUUCCUCAGCCCUUCUCCAUCGCGUGGCACCAGCUCGAGGUGCGCCGGGUCGCGCACACACACCGGGCGCACGGGGGGGUUCCCAAAUUGCGCCUUCGGGGUCUCCCCCGGCGGGUUGCAACCCCUUUGCCUUUGUUCCCCCGACGGGGCGGCAGCAGGGGGGUGACGGAGGCAGCACCAGGGGCUGCGGGCGGGGCCGGGGCCGCCCCGACAGGAGGGGCGGUCUCGGUAAAGCGGCGGCGCGGCGGGGGCCGGGCUCAGUGCGCGGGGCUGCGCGGCGCCGGCCGCUGCGCUUCGCCCAUGGGGCAGCCACCGAGGGGCCCCCCGGCCGGCCGCUCCCUUGUGUCCUGCUGAACUCGAGUGCUCGGGAUGUUCAGCUGAUGAUGCCCAAGUUGUCUGAGUUACCCAGAGAGGAGUAAAUGAGCCAGGAGUGCCUGGCCGAGCGUGCUGGAUGUGUCAGACAGCCCAGCAAGCUGCUGCUGGCUGCAGGACAGCAUUUCUUGUCCGAGGUGAGCCCAGCUGCUCGCUCUUGCCGUUGGCGUGCUGCUGCAGGUGGUAGCAGGACCGGGGCUGCUGGGUUUAAUUAUAGCUCCUGUCUGAGACACUAAUAGAGCAACAGAGCGUUUCUGUCUUCUGCUGGGGAAACCGAGCACUUCGCAGCUUUUGAUUGCUGUGUAACACUUCCCAUGACAUGGGAAGAAACUUUCCUGUUCCCUCUGCGAGAGGAAAUUGGAAACCUGUGGGCAGUGAGAUCCUGGAGCUGAGAUGCAGCCCCCAGGCUGCGGCUUGGCCUUGGUUCAUGGUACUCCUUGGGAUAGGAUAUUCCUGUCUCCAUGCUGCCCAGCCUUACCAGAGUGUCAUCAGCCUUUUGUUCUUCUCUUAGCCCCUGUCCCGUCCAUUUGCUAAGGGAUUGCGUGUCUGAGAUCCCACAUUUCUCCUUCCCCGCUCCUUACAAAGAUGGGCAUUACCCAGGUGCAGGCAGCCCCCUGUUGGCUCUGUGCAAAAUCCCCCUUCAGCGAAGGAUUAGCUGGGGUUAGCCCUGUGUGUGUGCGUGUGUCUGGGGUGUCUCUGUGUGGUUUGCAGCCUGCAACGCAGGUGGUUUGGGCUUCGAGGUUUCCUCUGGCUUCUCUGCAGGAGAUGGUCCGGAGGCACCGCUGAACGAACGUGCCUUUGGGCCUGUGCCUGCUGGAGCUGCUUAAGGAAGCAGCAGGGCUGUGGCAGAGCCAGGGGAUGAACCUCUGGCAAGAGAUGUUUCCUGCUGGCGUUGCAGAGGGACUUCUGGACUUAAAGGGCAGCUUUUCACGUGGGAAAGGAGUCCCAUGCACCCGGCAGGUGAGGAAUCUGCAGUAUCCCUGUUGGCGUGGGUGUACGGACUGUGCCAGACUGGGCAGGAGCAGCAGUCACAUCGUACUGCCACGGCGGCUGAGUGCUAAUUGUUUCUGCUGCCUGAGCAUCCGAUUAUUUCGGCUAGAUCAAGUUUCAUUCCCCGUAGCUCUCUGAGGCUUCCUGACCUGCAGAAUUGGUCUGGGGAGUUUCUUUUUGCUGGGCUGGUGAGCUCAUACCCCUCACCCUGGGCAAGGGCUGCUGUGUAUUCCUCCCUGCAAAAAAUGCAAACGAUGCUGUUACUGUUUGAAGAUGUUGGUAGCAAAGCCUUGUGCCGCAGCUGGCAAGGAGGAUAUCCACUGGGAGGUGGGCAGAGGGAUGCUCUGCCUCAGCUGGCUGGUGGCAGAGAGGUCUUAAUCAUCCCAAUCCCAGCUCUGGAGAGAAGUCUAGGCAAAGGGCUGGCUCGCUCAGUACGGACUCAGAAUGUGCAGCUGCAGAAAUAUGGCAUGGGAUGGCUGUACCUCAGUAGUUAUCUGGCUCGGGUGUCUGCUCUAGUAUGGAUAUCCCAGGGAAACUUUGAUGAAGUUGCUUGGAUAGGAUCCAUAAAGGAGCCUUGUGGCUCUUGGGUGUGCGUUUUGGGUUAGAUGUGGGAUUGAUCUCGUCCCUUAGGAUUUCAGAGUCCUCAAAUGUCAGAGUUUGCUAACCGAGAGAUUUUCCGCACUUAAAAGGGAGCGUGCUGUGCCUUCAUAUGUGUGUGGGGAAGGUGUCUUAGAUCCUGCUUGAUGAGUUAAGUCAAAGGUUUGCAGGAGCCAAGGUGACGAGUACUUCUUUGGAUCCUGUCUUCAGUCUCCUGGUGUUUCCAAAGUGGGGAUGCCAUCUGUCCCGAGAGCGCAGGGCUGUGGUGAGGCGAGAUCGGGAGGCACUGAGAUACUUUGGUAAUGAGCCUCUUGGAAAAGAAGAGGGAAGAGAGAACUUUGCAUGUUUUUUCCAUCAGACAGCUCUUUCCCUUUCUGACUGGCCUUGCUCUUGCAUGACUGCUCUGACCUGUGCACCCACUGCCUCUCUUCUUUGCCCUGCCCCUGUGCUUGAGCCCAGACUUUGCCUCUGUCCCUGGCCGUGUAGGUGCCUGGAGAGCUCUCCUGGGGCCUCCUGCCCUGGGUCUUGCUUUCUGCUGGGCGGUGGGGCAGAAGGCACAGCUCAGCACGGGAAAGGAGCUGGCUGCUGGCCCUAAAGAUGGAUCUCUUGCUCGCACAGCCCCUUGUUUGGAGACAUCUGUUCCAAAAUUGCAGUAAUUAGGAUGUAAACAUCUGUGCUCUCUCACUGGGUGCCUUGGCCACUGUGGCUGCUCCUGUGGCAUCAGGGAUGAAAAGCUGCUCCAUAUGGCACGGUUGCCUCAAUCUUCCCCCGACAAGCCGGCACAGUGGAGCAGCUGAAGGGCUGUCUGGUGUGAUGGGAGGGAGCGGGGAAGGAUCUGUCCUGCUCAGCCUGCUGGCCUUUCUGUGGGAGCUGCUGACUGGGAAACCCUUUGGCACUUCUGCUGCCAUCUCUCUCUUCCCCUGACGCAAGAAGGCAUGGUUUUACUCUCGUGGCUCAGUGCCCACACGUGUGAAAUGCCUGUAGCAGUGUUUGCCUCUUCAGGUUGGGUGAAGAGCACCCAGGGCUUGCAGAGCUCAGUGGUGACGUGGUAUUGUACAGGGGCAGUGCUGCAUCUCUGUAUUUACCAAUGUCUCUCAACCUGUGCUUCGUGAAAGGUGCUUGGGCAUGGCAGGUCAGAAAGAGCAUACAUCCACUACAGGAGUAUAAUAACUUCUUGGUCAACAUCUAUAAAUGAAGGUGGGCUCAAGGCCUUGCGUUGCCUCUGGCAUGUUGGUUUGGGAGCUCUGAAACCAGAGCAAGUCUUCUCCCCGGCCUCAGCAUGGCAGAGCAGACCAAAUUUAUGGUCAGGAUAAAUGUACUAAAACUGUACUCUCACUCAUCGUGGUUCAACUCCAGCUCGUUUUUAUUUUCACUUACUCUGCUGGCAGACUGGGAGUGUCCUCAGACCCUUGCAGCGAGCUUUGUGGUGCCCUCACAAGCAGCAGGACAGCUCUCUCAGCUGCUCAGCAGCAGCGUGCUGAAGCCAUAGGAACAGGGGCUGGUCAUUCGGUCGCUGCACCUUGCUCCUUGCCAGACCUCCCUCGAUGGGCACGCAGCUCUGGCUGCUGAAGCAUCGUCAAACAUCCUCUCCUCUUGCUGGAAGAGAAGCAGAGAUGCUGGGGGAAGAGCUGUGGAGGUGGGGAGAGAUGGAGCUAUCUUUAGCGUGGCACCGGUGAGGUUUCUUUGCACCACUAAGCAGUAGCUGUCACCACUGAGUACAGUAUUCAAGGGGACAGAUUCCGAAAGAAGCUGAAGAAAAAAAGUGAAGAAAAGGGAUAUUGAAAUUUAAAUAAUAAAAAAACAUCUUUCAGCUUCA